Molecule: ribosomal RNA, 1122 nt
Filed under: Borrelia miyamotoi
Lineage: Bacteria; Pseudomonadati; Spirochaetota; Spirochaetia; Spirochaetales; Borreliaceae
Description: bacterial SSU rRNA
Rfam family: Bacterial small subunit ribosomal RNA
Source: RNAcentral
GACUAAGAAUCUUCCGCAAUGGGCGAAAGCCUGACGGAGCGACACUGCGUGAACGAAGAAGGUCGAAAGAUUGUAAAGUUCUUUUAUAAGUGAGGAAUAAGCUUUGUAGGAAAUGACAAAGUGAUGACGUUAAUUUAUGAAUAAGCCCCGGCUAAUUACGUGCCAGCAGCCGCGGUAAUACGUAAGGGGCGAGCGUUGUUCGGGAUCAUUGGGCGUAAAGGGUGAGUAGGCGGAUAUGCAAGUCUAUGUGUAAAAUACCACAGCUCAACUGUGGAACUAUGCUGGAAACUGCAUGACUAGAGUCUGAUAGGGGAAGUUAGAAUUCCUGGUGUAAGGGUGGAAUCUGUUGAUAUCAGGAAGAAUACCAGAGGCGAAGGCGAACUUCUAGGUCAAGACUGACGCUGAGUCACGAAAGCGUAGGGAGCAAACAGGAUUAGAUACCCUGGUAGUCUACGCUGUAAACGAUGCACACUUGGUGUUAAUCGAAAGGUUAGUACCGAAGCUAACGUGUUAAGUGUGCCGCCUGGGGAGUAUGUUCGCAAGAAUGAAACUCAAAGGAAUUGACGGGGGCCCGCACAAGCGGUGGAGCAUGUGGUUUAAUUCGAUGAUACGCGAGGAACCUUACCAGGGCUUGACAUAUACAGGAUAUAGUUAGAGAUGACUAUUCCCCGUUUGGGGUCUGUAUACAGGUGCUGCAUGGUUGUCGUCAGCUCGUGCCGUGAGGUGUUGGGUUAAGUCCCGCAACGAGCGCAACCCUUAUUGUCUGUUACCAGCAUGUAAAGAUGGGGACUCAGACGAGACUGCCGGUGAUAAGCCGGAGGAAGGUGAGGAUGACGUCAAAUCAUCAUGGCCCUUAUGUCCUGGGCUACACACGUGCUACAAUGGCCUGUACAAAGCGAUGCGAAACAGUGAUGUGAAGCAAAACGCAGAAAGCAGGUCUCAGUCCAGAUUGAAGUCUGAAACUCGGCUUCAUGAAGUUGGAAUCGCUAGUAAUCGUAUAUCAGAAUGAUACGGUGAAUACGUUCUCGGGCCUUGUACACACCGCCCGUCACACCACCCGAGUUGAGGAUACCCGAAGCAAGGUGGAAUCUGUUGAUAUCAGAAGAAUACCAGAGGCGAAGG